Molecule: ribosomal RNA, 488 nt
Filed under: soil fungal sp. DM2-099
Lineage: Eukaryota; Fungi
Description: eukaryotic LSU rRNA
Rfam family: Eukaryotic large subunit ribosomal RNA
Source: RNAcentral
CGGCAAGAGCUCAAAUUUGAAAGCUGGCCCCCUCGGGGUCCGCAUUGUAAUUUGCAGAGGAUGCUUCGGGAACGGCCCCCAUCUAAGUGCCCUGGAACGGGCCGUCAUAGAGGGUGAGAAUCCCGUCUGGGAUGGGGUGGCCGCGCCCGUGUGAAGCUCCUUCGACGAGUCCAGUUGUUUGGGAAUGCAGCUCUGAUUGGGUGGUAAAUUUCAUCUAAAGCUAAAUAUUGGCCGGAGACCGAUAGCGCACAAGUAGAGUGAUCGAAAGAUGAAAAGCACUUUGAAAAGAGAGUUAAACAGCACGUGAAAUUGUUGAAAGGGAAGCGCUUGCAACCAGACUCGCCCGCGGGGUUCAGCCGGCACUCGUGCCGGUGUACUUCCCCGCGGNCGGGCCAGCGUCGGUUUGGGCGGCCGGNCAAAGGCCUCUGGAAGGNAACUGNCUCUCGNGGCGUCUUAUANCCAGGGGUGCCAUGCGNCCUGNCCGGACC